RNAcentral lists this long non-coding RNA (1067 nucleotides) under Bemisia tabaci. RNAcentral describes it as "lncRNA ENSSWEETPG010994". The record is from RNAcentral. Lineage: Eukaryota; Metazoa; Arthropoda; Insecta; Hemiptera; Aleyrodidae.
GUCCGCGGUCCGCCCCAUGUUUGACGUUAUUUAACUCUCAAGCACAUUAUAAAAAAACUAAUCGUUUCACUCCCGUAGUGUGGAUUUCGGCUGAAGGUGGAAUGGAAUUCGAUGUUUUUCGCUGACAAUUUUUGUUUUCUUCUGGUGUAUUGUCUACACAGUUGGCAACAGAUUUUUAGUGGGGAGGAGGGAGCCAAUCAGAGACACACCUCACGAAACAAGCUCAUCGUGAUUGGCUGGAUUUCCUGCGUCUCCUCUGUUUUGAUUCCCUGACCGAAUGCAUUGAAGUAUUGUCAAAAGUGAAGUUUCAACGGUUUUUCACCAUGUCGUCCCGUAUCAGAAGUACUUUGGGCACAACGCAAACAAUGAGGACAGCCAACCAGGAAAAUAUUCCAACGAUACUGGAGGGAAAGAAUGUUCAAAAUGAUCCAGUGAGAUUGACAAAGAGGCCCGCCUUAGUCACAACAACAAACACCAUCUCACAACAGCAAGCAGCAGUGAAUGCAGCAGCUGCAGCUAAAGAGAAAUCAAAACUUGUCAAGAGACCCGUUCUAGCUGAGCGGAAACCGAUCGUUACUGCCCGCAACCCCAUCAGAGCUAGCGCCAAGCUGCCUCAACCAUCUACCGUCACUACCUCCAGGCCUUUAAGCAGAACAAGUAAUUUACCAGUUCCCUCCUCCCGAUUGCCGACCGGUAGCAGUAUUUUAACCAGAAAAACCCAGCGUGAGUUUAAUGUCAAUGACUCUCAGUUUUGAAGUUAACAGUAAAGCCAUGAUUGCCUCUGCCUUAAUCGUGAUCCUUAGGGAUUAACUUUCUAUCAAGCUUUCACUAAGCUCAUUCCAUCAAGCACUUGUGUUUUUACAGAAAAUUUUCGGCAUCAUGUAAGAAGGAACCCUCCAGAAUUUUAAAGUCUUUUCCCACCCUCCAACUUCACUCUUUAGGGACACAUGAACAUCAGGAAUUAUGUUGUGAUUUUGUACCUGAAUGAUACAACUUUUCUGAUAAUGUUAUCAUGAAAAUGGUCAAAGUUUGUGUUGUCAAAAGCUUAGUGUAUCCAAGGUCUUCUU